Molecule: ribosomal RNA, 455 nt
Filed under: uncultured bacterium
Lineage: Bacteria
Description: bacterial SSU rRNA
Rfam family: Bacterial small subunit ribosomal RNA
Source: RNAcentral
GCACAAGCGGUGGAGCAUGUGGUUUAAUUCGACGCAACGCGAAGAACCUUACCUGGGCUCGAAAUGUAGUGGAAUCCGGUGGAAACAUCGGCGCCCAGCAAUGGGCCGCUAUAUAGGUGCUGCAUGGCUGUCGUCAGCUCGUGUCGUGAGAUGUUGGGUUAAGUCCCGCAACGAGCGCAACCCUUGUUACCAGUUGCUACCAUUUAGUUGAGCACUCUGGUGAGACCGCCUCGGAUAACGGGGAGGAAGGCGGGGAUGACGUCAAGUCCUCAUGGCCUUUAUGUCCAGGGCUACACACGUGCUACAAUGGCGGUGACAGUGGGCAGCUACUUCGCGAGAAGCGGCUAAUCCCAAAAAACCGUCCCAGUUCAGAUUGUACUCUGCAACUCGAGUACAUGAAGGUGGAAUCGCUAGUAAUCGCAGAACAGCAGGCUGCGGUGAAUACGUUCCCGGGC